Molecule: ribosomal RNA, 301 nt
Filed under: uncultured bacterium
Lineage: Bacteria
Description: partial 16S ribosomal RNA
Rfam family: Bacterial small subunit ribosomal RNA
Source: RNAcentral
CAGUAGCCGCGGUAACACGGAGGGGGCUAGCGUUGUUCGGAAUUACUGGGCGUAUAGCGUACGUAGGCGGCUUUGUAAGUUAGAGGUGAAAGCCUGGAGCUCAACUCCAGAAUUGCCUUUAAGACUGCAUCGCUUGAACGUCGGAGAGGUGAGUGGAAUUCCGAGUGUAGAGGUGAAAUUCGUAGAUAUUCGGAAGAACACCAGUGGCGAAGGCGGCUUACUGGCUCAUACUGGACGCUGAGGUGCGAAAGCGUGGGGAGCAAACAGGAUUAGAUACCCCCGUAGUCCCUGUCUCUUAUAU